This 358-nucleotide ribosomal RNA is filed under the name uncultured bacterium. Its description in RNAcentral is "bacterial SSU rRNA". It matches the Rfam family "Bacterial small subunit ribosomal RNA", at positions 158 to 507 of the family's 1533-position model. The record is from RNAcentral.
CCGGGCUAAUACCGCAUAUGCUCUACGGAGGGAAAGGGGGGGAUCCGCAAGGACCUCUCGCUAUGGGAGCGGCCGAUGUCCGAUUAGCUUGUUGGUGGGGUAAUGGCUUACCAAGGCGACGAUCGGUAGCUGGUCUGAGAGGAUGAUCAGCCACACUGGGACUGAGACACGGCCCAGACUCCGUACGGGAGGCAGCAGGUGGGGUAAUUUUGGACAAUGGGGCAACCCUGAUCCAGCCAUGCCGCGUGCGGGAAGAAGGCCUUCGGGUUGUAAACCGCUUUUAGUCGGGAAGAAAAGGCCUGGGCGAAUACCCUGGGUUUUGACGGUACCGGCGGAAUAAGCACCGGCUAACUACGUG